UACUCGUAUAUUAACCUGUUCUAACUUGUCUUAUUAAGAUAAGUUAGGAAUUUGUUGUUUACCAUAAAAACAGGAUGUUCUUAGAUAAGAUAAGAUUUUGUGGUUAACCAGAAAUGGAAUUACGUAGGUUUAACUUGUUCUAACUUGUUUUAUUACGAUAAGAUAUGUUUAUUAACGUGUUCAGACUUGUCUUCUUAUUCAGAAAAGAUAUUUAAGAAGUGGAUAUUAUCAUUUGAUUCAGUUGGCUUCCAUGUAAACAAGUGAGUGAUACCAUUUUUUCAAAUUCUUCUUUACAAAAGAAAUAAAAAUGGAAAAUAAUCUUCCAAAUAAUUAUGUAAAUAAUUAAGACCCAGAAUCUCUAAUUGUUGAUGAACCCUCAGCUUCAACAAAUUUUGAAGACCCUUCAGGCAGUGAAAACAAUGAAGUUGGUCCAGAUGAAAUUUUAUUACAAUUAAAUCAACGAGGUGCAUGUGAAUUGCCUCCACUUAUUAAAAUAGAUUCUCUAAUUCAGAAGAAAGAAUAUAAAAUAAGAAAUCUCAUAAGAUUGAAAACAAAAACAGGAUGGGGCAUUAUAUGCGAAAUUAAUGAGGGUAACUUCUUUGUUCCUCAAAGAAUUGUAUCAACUUUAAAUAACAGAGCCAUAAAAUAUCUGUUAAGUGGAAAAGGUUCCGUAAUAAUUUACUUAGGGAAAAAAAAAACGGGACAGGUGAACUGGGCUAAUAUUGUCGAGUUUAAAAAGAUCACAUAAUUAUGUCUGCUUCCCCGUUAACAACAUUAUCAUCAUCAUUGAAAUUUGAAAAAAAUUUACGAAAAUUAGGAGCUUUUAAGAUUAACAUUAUAUUAAAUUGUAUUUAUCAAUUUAAAGUAACUAAAGAACAUGCCUUUCGAAGUUUUAACACCCAGAAUCAAUCAGUCUUUCACUCUGAAGAAAUUCCUUCAAUUUUAGAAAAUUUAUUUGAUGCUCUAUUAAAUCAGAUGGAUGAUUUCACUGAAAAUAAGUCUUGUGAAGCUUGAGAAAGUAUUGAAAAUUUGAUGAUUUCCAUAAACAAAUUAUCGAUAUUUAAUAUAUCGCAAAAUGAAGAAGAAGAUACCACCUCUCAUUCUAGUGACUCUGGGGGAACAUACAUUCCUCUUCCUAUUGAGCUGAAAGGAAAAGGUUCUUGUUUUAUUAAUAUUUUUAAUAAGGAUAAUUAUUGUUUUGAUUAUUCUAUCUUGGCUGCACUUUUUCCUGUUAAUCACUCUAAAUAUGAGAGAGUUGAAUCUUAUCCUAGUAAUGUUCAUGAAAUUUUAAACUUAAAAAAUAUUGAAAUGCCUGUUAAAAUAAAAGAUAUUUCCAAAUUUGAAAAACAGAAUCCUACUAUUUCUAUUAAUGUAUUUAAAUUCAACGGAAAAACCCGACAAAUUGACGGUUCUAUUUAUCAUACAAAAAAUGUAAAAGGAAAACAUAUAAAUUUAUUAUAUUUAACUAAAAAUAAUAUUAACACUAAUGGUCAUUAUUGCUUAAUUACUAAUCUUGCAAAAGCAUGUGGAAGCAGCAUAAGUAAAAAUGAGCAUCAAAUAUUUUUUUGUGAUCGUUGUUUACAACAUAUUCCUUCGAAAUCAAAAGAUAAAAUUGAUAGACAUAAACGGGAUUGUUCAACAUUUCCUACAGUUAAAACACGCUUACCUGAACCGAAUUCUCCAGAAAGUCUUUUACAUUUUUCACAGUUUAAAUCAUUGCUACGUUUACCAUUUGUUAUAUAUGCAGACUUAUGUUCUUUUGAUAGUAAAUUAGAUAGUUAUAAGACUUAUAGAGAAGAAAAGCCUCAAGAGUGGUUUAUUUCAGUAUUAAAAGAAAUUUGCAAAUUUGUAAAUAAAAUAUUGUUAAAACAAAAGAAAAUACUAAAUAAACCUUUAUCAGAAUUAGAAAAAGAGUUACAUGAAACAACUAAUAAUUGUAAUUUAUGUGGUUGCAACUUUACAGAUAAUAAUAAAAAAGUUAUACAUCAUAACAUUCAUAACCAUUUAACUGGUGAAUUUAUUUCUACAAUAUGCAAUAAUUGUAAUUUACAAAUUCAAAUUUCAAAUAAGUUGCCAGUUUUUUUACAUAAUUUGUCUGGAUAUGACGCUCACCUUUUUUUUACAGAGUUUAUUAAUAAUUUUUCAAAUACCAAUAAAAACCAUUGAAUCAUGAAAAUUAUAUUUCAUUUUCAGGAAUACAUUGUAACAUGAAAAUUACGUUUUUAGAUUCUUUUCGCUUUCUACCUACAUCAUUUGAUAAACUUGUAUCUUUUUUAAAGCCAAAUCAGUUUUCUCUUAUGAAAGCUUUUUUCCCCAAUGUUACAGAUGAUGUUUUUCAAUUAUUAUUAAAAAAAGGAGUAUUUCCGUAUGAUUAUAUCACUUCCUCAUCUGUCUUCGAAGAUACCCAAUUACCAACAAAACCACAAUUUUUCAAUCGAAUGACAAAUAAACAUAUUUCAGAUAAAGAUUAUUUUCAUGCACAGAAUGUUUGAGAAAAAUUUGGAAUUAAAACUUUAGGAGAAUACUCCGAUUUAUAUUUAAAAUGUGAUGUAAUUCAAUUAGCUGAUGUUUUCGAAAAUUUUCGCGACUUAACAAUGAAAUAUUACCAACUUGAUGCUGCAUCCUUCUAUACUAGUCCAGGCCUUUCAUGGGCAACUGCUUUAAAAAUCACAAAAGUUAAACUUGAAUUGUUUACCGAUAGUGAAAUGUUUUUGUUUAUCGAAAAAUCAAUACGCGGAGGAAUUACUCAAGCGGUACAUAGAUAUGCUGAAUGUAAUAAUACACAUUAUUCAAAAACAUAUGAUCCUACAACACCUAUAGAUUAUCUUUUUUAUAUCGAUGCUAACAAUUUAUAUGGCUGGGCUUUAAGUCAAAAGUUACCUAUUGGAAAUUUUCAUUGGUUAUCAACAAAUGAUAUUAAUGAAAUUUUCGCUGAGCCUCAAAAAUUAAAUACUAAUGAUAACAAAGGAUUUAUUUUAGAAGUUGACUUAUAUCAUGAUAAAAGUAUACACGAUAAACAUGAUGAUUUUCCUUUUUGUCCUGAACCACGAAAUUCAAAGUUAAUGUGUACGUUAUAUGAUAAACAAAAUUACGUUAUACAUUAUAAAAAUUUGUUACAGUGUAUAAAAUAUGGUUUACAAAUUAAAAAAAUUCAUCGAGUUUUAACAUUUGACCAAGACGCAUGGUUAAAAUCUUAUAUUGAAUUUAAUACAAAAUUGCGUAUGGAUGCUAAAAAUGAAUUCGAGAAAGGAUUUUUUAAACUUUUAAUAAAUUCUAUCUUUGGAUAAACAUUAGAAUCAGACCGGAAAAAACGUAAAAUUGAAUUAGUAAAAAAUUGGAAACAAGCCAGAAAAUACAUUCUAUAACUAGAAUUUAAAAACGUUAAAAUAUUAAAUAAGAAUUUAGUUAGCAUCGAAUUAAAUAAAACCGAAAUCAAAAUGAAAAGGCCAAUCUACGUAGGAUUUACUAUUUUAGAAUUAUCAAAAAUUAUUAUGUACGAUUUUCAUUAUGAUUUUAUUAAUAAGCAAAUAAAAAAUUAUUUUCAUUCAAAAUUAUUAUAUAUGGAUACAGAUAGUUUUAUUUAUAAAAUGACAUGUAAAAAAAAAAAUUAUUCUCUUUAUGAUCUAAUACGAGAUUUUGCAAAUUCAAAAUUUGAUACUAGUGAUUAUGAUGUAAAUAAUAUUUGGAAUAUCCUUCUUGUAAAUAAAAAAAUUCCAGGAUUAAUGAAAGAUGAAUUGAAUGGUAAAAUUCUUACAGAGUUUAUUACUCUAAGACCAAAAGUUUAUGAUUAUAAAGUGAAUGGAGAAGUAAAAGAGCCUAAAAUUAAGGGAAUUAAAAAAAGUGCAGUCAUUAUAGAAAAUGACGAACCAAAAAAUAAACAACAAAAAUUAUGCAAUAGUGUUGAUUUUGUAGAUAAUGUUAAUAAUGGUAGUUAUAGGAUUACUAAUACUAGAAAAAUAGAAUUUAACGAUAUAUAUGAAUGUUUAUUUAAUAAUACAGUACGUUAUGUUAAUUUUAAUACUAUAAGAUCAAUUAAUCAUGAACUAUUUUUUGUAAAUAUUAAUAAGUUAGGAUUGAAUGCAUUAGAUAAUAAGAGAUAUAUUUUAGAUGAUCUAAUUAGUACUCACGCUUGGGGGCAUUAUUCAAUUACCUAACCCCUUCUAAGUUUUUGUAAAAUUUAAUUUUUUUUUUCAAAUAUUUUUUCCAAAUAUUAAUAAAAUAUUUGUUUGUUCUAUUUCCUGUUUUAUUUUUUAUCGAACCUAGUACGUAUUUACUUAGAUAAACAUUAGCGUUGUAAACAACUCCCCCACUCGAACCCUCUAUCUAUACCAAACAGUGUAAAAGUCAACUUGCUGUUUUUCAACUGUAUCAGUGUCUUAUUGAGUUAAAAGGUACUAUUUUAAAAACUAAAAAAAAAAAUGGAAAAAGUACGUAAACCUUCAAUAUACAAUACUCCCGAUGAAAUUGUCAUAUGUCCAUACGACCCCAAACAUAAAGUGCUUGUUUCGGCUUGAGCGGCACAUAUGGAAGUGCCAUCAAGCCGAAAAAAGAAAAAAGGAAGACCAAGCAAAGCAGAGCGUAGAUCACCCCUCUCAACUUUCGGUUUGACAAAAAAAAAUAAUAAAUAAAAAACUACAUA
Molecule: long non-coding RNA, 4639 nt
Organism: Tribolium castaneum (red flour beetle)
Lineage: Eukaryota; Metazoa; Arthropoda; Insecta; Coleoptera; Tenebrionidae
Exons: 4
Source: RefSeq, a predicted model, not a curated record